Non-coding RNA from Taeniopygia guttata (zebra finch), 2376 nucleotides. The record is from RefSeq and is a predicted model, not a curated record. Lineage: Eukaryota; Metazoa; Chordata; Aves; Passeriformes; Estrildidae.
AACAGUUGCUGACCUUAACAUUAUUCACCCCUGUGACCCAACCCAAAUUUCUGAAUGUAGGUGAAAAGGUUACAAAUUUGGUCAACCACUUGAAAAAAAACAUAGCAGGUAUCAAGGAUGAGACAAGGAGUAAUCACUACCUAAUUUUAGUUAGUUCUUUUCACAUUAAAAAUUCUUUCAUUGUGAAAAUAAGAUGAAAAUUUAAGUAUUCAAUACAGGAAGCUAUAAAUAAAAAAUAUAGGUGCAGAAUAUAGCAUAUGGCUUAAAGCAGUAAUGAUAAAUCACCACAAUAACUCAAGUUCACUAGACAGCUGAAACUGCCAGAGCAGAGUAACAGGUGACUGCUUCCUCAGUAUCAUUAAAGAUUUUAGUACAGUUAUUUCUUGCUGCAAAUAAAUGUAUGCAUAUCUGCAUUUGUAUGUAUGUAUAUGUAAGUGUAAAUGAGAGGAACUGCUACCAGAGAGCUAUAAAAAGAGAGUAUGUUUUCAAUUCUUUGGGAAAGCCCUGAAAGAAGAAAAAAAGUAUUUUCCUCUAAAUCUGCUUACUGGAAAUUACCACCAUCUCAGAGGACACCUACCUUUGGGCUUCAAUUUCUAGCACAAGACAUGGGGGAAGAUGGCUGGGUUGGCAGGCAUCAGAAGAUGUUAGAAUGCUCUCACAUAUUCUCUAGGAAUCAUCUCAUGGCAAAUCUACCCACCAUCUUUUGAAGGAAAAACAAGAUGAACCUUCCUAAAACUUGAAAGGAAAAAUAAUUCAAAUUAUUUUCCAGCAUAUAAAAACUUCCUAUUGAAGAAAAUUACUGUUGGCAAAACUAAAGAUAAAUGAACUCUAAAGGAAGAUUUAAGAAGAGAUGGAAGAAUGAGAUAUCCUGGAUCACAGCAGUGAAUAUACAGUUUCAGACCUGUCUCCAAAAUCUCAAAAUGUUUGGUUAAAGUGACAUUUCAGCCACUUUCCUUCAGCAAAAGUGACACUGAGCACAACAGCAGAGAAACUGAGAGAGGGCUGUAUGUCAACAGGUAAGAAAAUCAAACUCAAGAGUCAGCGCUGUGUGGAGCCACUUAAAGUCCAGACAUAUAUUUUAUUUCUCACUUUUCACGCAAAUACAUGUCUUUUGUAUCCACUCUUUAGUGUUACGUGGAAAAGCAAAACCUUGGAGACAGGAAGGAAAGAGACAACAGGUAAUUACAGACCUCACUGCUGUCCUGAGUGAUUCUUCUUUUUCUCCAUAUAGUGAAUUAGCUCUUUGUAGAAGAAUUGAGUUCAAGUCUUAAGACAUAGUGAAUUACUAGUCUAAUUUGCCAGUGUCAGCUCUGUUUCAAACCACUGUUAAUCAUUUAGUUUUGUGUGUUUUACAAAGUUGAGACAGAUUUUCUAAAUGUACUGUGGGGCACAUGGGGGUACAUCUUACAUACUUACACAUAUGUAUUUCAAUAUAUUCAUAGUUAUUAAAAUUAAUCAAUAAGAAACUGUGUUUGAGUUCCAAUCCAUCUUGUGGUCAACACGACCCAGUAAUUUUGUCCUUUUUCUUUUCUUUUUUUAUGCAGGUCAUCCAUUCAGUUAAAAUUCUGUCAAAACAGUGCAGUUGAUCUAAUUCCUCGUAAUCAAAGCAGUUACUUUGAGUUUUAGUUUGCUAUAAUUGUACUGCUACAGACUUUAAACACUAAAAUAUGGGGGACGGGGGUAUGGUGUUGCAGCCCCUGCAAGCAUCACCACAAGUUUCUGUGGCCUCUCCAUAGCUUCCCUGUGCCUGUCAUAUUAUCAUCUUUCCACUUGAUCUUAUAAAGAGUUUAUAUUUGCACCCUGCCAGUUUGAUACUAUUUUUCUUUUUCUGAACUUGAUGUUUGAUGCCUCAGCAUAACUGAAGGCAAAUCCGCCCACAGUAUCACGCAAAGCAGGAGUGCUCUUUCCCCCACCACUUGCACAGCUUCCCUAAGCCCUGGGUUUUCUCCUGAAGAUUUCACUCUUAGCAGUCUGUUUUCUGUUCCCUCCAGGAGGGACUGUGCUGUGCAUUUUCCACUACUGGAUAUCCUAAUCUGCCCUUAAAAUAUGCACAUUUCUAUCAGCUUGUUUUCCUUUAAGAGCUAAAAGCAUAGGGUCGUCUUCCCCUGGCUCUCUCUUGCUGGCUGCCCAACAAGGAAGGAGUGGGCUCAGAAGGAUUGUCACAGGAAAUAAACCUGAAAAUGGACAGGGCAGAGAUGAAAACAAUUCAAUGUGCAAGUGCAUAAGGUGGACCUGAGUGAUGCUGUUGGUAGGAUACCUUUGGAAGUGUGGGUUUGUACUUCAGUGAACUUCAGAAAGGCUUUCUGGCCUGAUCUGUCAUUCCCAACAUGAGGAAUAACACCUGUAGCUGAAACAACUUGCAGAGAACUCUAUUCA